Molecule: ribosomal RNA, 230 nt
Filed under: uncultured Pseudomonas sp.
Lineage: Bacteria; Pseudomonadati; Pseudomonadota; Gammaproteobacteria; Pseudomonadales; Pseudomonadaceae
Description: partial 16S ribosomal RNA
Rfam family: Bacterial small subunit ribosomal RNA
Source: RNAcentral
CGGUGACAAACCGGAGGAAGGUGGGGAUGACGUCAAGUCAUCAUGGCCCUUACGGCCUGGGCUACACACGUGCUACAAUGGUCGGUACAAAGGGUUGCCAAGCCGCGAGGUGGAGCUAAUCCCAUAAAACCGAUCGUAGUCCGGAUCGCAGUCUGCAACUCGACUGCGUGAAGUCGGAAUCGCUAGUAAUCGUGAAUCAGAAUGUCACGGUGAAUACGUUCCCGGGCCUU